This 398-nucleotide unclassified non-coding RNA is filed under the name fungal sp. RNAcentral's name for it is "partial internal transcribed spacer region". The stretch from base 1 to 46 matches the Rfam family "Eukaryotic small subunit ribosomal RNA", at positions 1786 to 1831 of the family's 1831-position model. The record is from RNAcentral. Lineage: Eukaryota; Fungi.
AAGUCGUAACAAGGUUUCCGUAGGUGAACCUUCGGAAGGAUCAUUAAUACGUUUCUAAACAAACGUUUUAAACUCCAAAAUAUUAAUAGUGGAAAUAUAACUUCCGGAUGCAUUUGUAGGAGGGCAGAUAAGACUAACAUUUGAUCUCUCUUUUGAAAAGGAGACUUCAUGCACUUUAUUGUGUGUGACACUUCAGAGUAGAGCAGUGAGGUGAAAACUUCGGUUUUGGUUUCUGAAAUACAUCUGUAUCCGGUUAUUCUCUGUUCUACAACCCUUUUAUUAAACAAUAAACCCCAUGUACAACAACUUGAACUAAACAAAUUUUGUUUUCUCUCUUUGAGGAAAUGAAGUAAAUCUGAACUUAAGAACAACUCUUAACAACGGAUAUCUUGGUUCUC